GCCGAAAUAGCUUAGUUGGAGAGCGUUAGACUGAAGAUCUAAAGGUCCCUGGUUCAAUCGGGUUUUUGGCA
RNAcentral lists this transfer RNA (71 nucleotides) under Trichonephila inaurata madagascariensis. It matches the Rfam family "tRNA". From Rfam's summary of the family: Transfer RNA (tRNA) molecules are approximately 80 nucleotides in length. Their secondary structure includes four short double-helical elements and three loops (D, anti-codon, and T loops). Lineage: Eukaryota; Metazoa; Arthropoda; Arachnida; Araneae; Nephilidae. The record is from Rfam by way of RNAcentral.